AGAGGUUUGAUCCUGGCUCAGGAUGAACGCUGGCGGCGCGCUUAACACAUGCAAGUCGAACGAGGUCCAUGGAGCUUGCUCCGGAAGACCUAGUGGCGAACGGGUGCGGAACACGUGAGAAACCUGCCUCGAUCUCUGGGAUAACAGUUGGAAACGACUGCUAAUACCGGAUGCCAUCACACCGUUUCAUGACGGAGUGAUGAAAGAUUUAUCGGAUCGAGAGGGUCUCGCGGCCUAUCAGCUAGUUGGAGAGGUAACGGCUCACCAAGGCAUCGACGGGUAGCUGGUCUGAGAGGAUGAUCAGCCACACUGGGACUGAGACACGGCCCAGACUCCUACGGGAGGCAGCAGUGGGGAAUAUUGCACAAUGGGCGAAAGCCUGAUGCAGCGACGCCGCGUGCGGGAAGAAGGCCCUAGGGUUGUAAACCGCUUUCAGUAGGGAAGAAAAUGACGGUACCUACAGAAGAAGGUGCGGCCAACUACGUGCCAGCAGCCGCGGUGACACGUAGGCACCAAGCGUUAUCCGGAUUUAUUGGGCGUAAAGAGCUCGUAGGCGGCUCGGUAAGUCGGGUGUGAAAACUCUGGGCUCAACCCAGAGAGGCCACCCGAUACUGCCGUGGCUAGAGUACGGUAGGGGAGCGGGGAAUUCCUGGUGUAGCGGUGAAAUGCGCAGAUAUCAAAGGAACACCAGCGGCGAA
Molecule: ribosomal RNA, 698 nt
Filed under: uncultured bacterium
Lineage: Bacteria
Description: bacterial SSU rRNA
Rfam family: Bacterial small subunit ribosomal RNA
Source: RNAcentral